RNAcentral lists this transfer RNA (73 nucleotides) under Candidatus Uhrbacteria bacterium. Its description in RNAcentral is "tRNA-Pro". It matches the Rfam family "tRNA". Rfam says of the family: Transfer RNA (tRNA) molecules are approximately 80 nucleotides in length. Their secondary structure includes four short double-helical elements and three loops (D, anti-codon, and T loops). Further hydrogen bonds mediate the characteristic L-shaped molecular structure. tRNAs have two regions of fundamental functional importance: the anti-codon, which is responsible for specific mRNA codon recognition, and the 3' end, to which the tRNAs corresponding amino acid is attached (by aminoacyl-tRNA synthetases). tRNAs cope with the degeneracy of the genetic code in two manners: having more than one tRNA (with a specific anti-codon) for a particular amino acid; and 'wobble' base-pairing, i.e. permitting non-standard base-pairing at the 3rd anti-codon position. Lineage: Bacteria; Candidatus Uhriibacteriota. The record is from RNAcentral.
CGGGCCGUAGUUCAGUUGGUAGAACGCACGGUUCGGGACCGUGAGGUCGCCGGUUCAAGCCCGGCCGGCCCGA